RNAcentral lists this long non-coding RNA (2290 nucleotides) under Fragaria vesca (wild strawberry). RNAcentral describes it as "long non-coding RNA (FVES_LNC002574)". The record is from RNAcentral. Lineage: Eukaryota; Viridiplantae; Streptophyta; Magnoliopsida; Rosales; Rosaceae.
GAAGGGAGAAGGAGGAGGAAAGGGGAAGGUGAUGGAGAUCUUGAGAAACACUUACAGUUACUCAAAGAAUUUCAUUUUACCAUAAAAAUGAGUGGCAUGGGAAAAAUUGAACCGAGAGGAUUUGCUGCAUUGCAUCUUCCAAGGUAAGUUUUUUAAUUUGUUAAGCUUUCUUGUUUUUCAUGAAUGUGUAAUGAUUAACUUUUGACUCCCUUAAAACGUUUGCCAACCUCAGAUAUGAUUCACCCAAGGAAAAACACAUUGACUGCAGUGAUAUUCUGGUAUACAUCAAGUUCCAUAUCAUUUAUACAAGUCAUACAUUUUGAAGUAAAUUUCAUGUUAAGCUACAAAUCGAUCAAAUAUAUACAUACAUCUGAUCUAUCUACAUAAUAUCAGUAUGAAAAUAUUGAUUUAUAUAGGGUUGUGAAAUUCACACACCCUUUUUCCUUUUUUGGUAACUUAGAUUUUAUCUUUUAGUGACUUAAACUUUGUCUUUUUAUAAAUGUGUUAAUUAAAAAAAAAUGGUGUGUUGAUUUUAAUUUGGGGUGUGUGAAUUUCACAUCCCUUUAAAGGGAUAAGGUUCUCAAGUGAUUUAGUGUCAAAUGACUAAGUUAUGACUAUUAUGUUUCAUUGCAGCCCUACAAAAGCAGCCUCGGGUUCUUCCUCUAUAAACGCAUGCAAGUUUUCUUGUUAAAAAAAAAACGCUUACAAGUUUUCAAGGUGUCAGACAUGUAACCGCCGAGUAAUGCACCCAUGCUUAAAACUCAUCUUUAACUUAAUGUAGCUCAUCACUCAUGUAAUACAUAGAUUAAUGUAAGACUCAUGCAGUACAUAGAUUUGGUCUACCAUUGGAAAGAUUUAUGGAUGUAUGGUUUGAUGCCAUCUUUCUUGCAGAACCUUGACACUGAAAAAAAUUGUUCUCCCACCACGAAAUCUUCUAACACUGGCUGGAUUUGAAGAGUCUAUAAAGAACUGGGCACAACUAGAGUCAAUGACUAUGCCACUUGCUUUCUUUGAGUUUGAAACGGUGAAGUUUGAUCGGAGCUCACUGUAAGAAUUUCUCUAAGCUCAAAGUUUUUGGCCCCUUAAUGGUGCACUUUGCAAAGGCCAUUGCUGCCAAUAUCCCGAACUUAAAGGUUCAAGUCUCCAGGGCAGCUUGGUGGAGAAGGAAGCCUUGGUUUACAAUACUUUACCUACUAAACAACAUGAAAAAAUUUGGAAGUGUUGAACUUGUGUCACUGCCGCAUCGUGGAUGAAGGUGUUCCAGGACCAGGCUAUAUAUAUGCGUAUGCAGCACAUGAACUUAAUUGUCAUGUCUAUCAUGGAAAGGGCCUCGGGGAUGAAGAACUUUCUAGUUUGUAACUCAAGGUUGUUCAACAUUGGAAUAUGGCGAAGGGACAUGGUGAUGAGUACGCUUGCAGCAUAUUGAUAUGGAGAAGAACCAUCUGCUGGGGAAUCAUUCUUGUAUGUCGAAUUGAACAUUGUUAGUAUGAGAAAUUUCACAGCUGCGCUUGUGGAAUGGUUUAAAUUUCCGGCACUACUACAAUAUUGAGCAAAGGUGUGGUCUUUAGAGAUGUUGCAUUUCUCCGUAAGGAUAACAAUUGAGGGUAUUAGUGGGUAUUGGUGGAGUGUUAGGGGAAAAUGCCACACAUAUGGGAAUUGCAAUACUCCUAAUGGCCACACUAGGUGUGUGGUCUUUACUCAAUAAUGUAAGUAGGUGUGUGGUCUUUGCUCAAUAAUGUAGUAGUGCGGUUCAUGCUACUUAAUUAGUUUUUGAUGGUUCAGUUAAGAACUUCUUCUAUGAAGCCUUUGUUUAUUGUAUUAAGAACUUCUAUGAAGCCUUUAAUUAUGUAGGUCAUUAAUCGAGUUGAAAUGAAUUAGCAAGUCCAUUAGCUGUUGUGUUAAGAACGUCUAUGUUUUUAUUCUAACUUUUACUACUAUCAACUUCUAAGUUUCCUUUCUUUUUGUCAUCAAUCAGAAUUCUACGUUUUCGUUCCUUGGAAUAUAUGCAAGUGCAUAUAACUUUGCUCCUUGAGGUUACAGGGCAUUGAUUAUUAAGUUUUUGUUCCUUGGAAUAUAUGCAAGUGCAUAUAACUUUGCUCCUUGAGGUUACAGGGCAUUGAUUAUUAGCUGGGAAGAUGUAUAUAUUGGCAAGAUUACUUUGAACAAGUAUAUUGGUUUCUAUUCUUAAGCCGGGUGCUGGGGAAUAGGUUUACUUAACUUCUCCAUAUAUUUUAUAAAGGUUUCCAAUUGAGAGUUUAUGUUUGUUUCUUUUUAGUCUCAUCGAUCAAUG